RNAcentral lists this ribosomal RNA (450 nucleotides) under uncultured bacterium. RNAcentral's name for it is "partial 16S ribosomal RNA". It matches the Rfam family "Bacterial small subunit ribosomal RNA", at positions 354 to 796 of the family's 1533-position model. The record is from RNAcentral.
GUGGGGAAUUUUGGACAAUGGGCGCAAGCCUGAUCCAGCAAUGCCGCGUGCAGGAAGAAGGCCUUCGGGUUGUAAACUGCUUUUGUACGGAACGAAACGGUCCUGGCUAAUAUCCGGGGCUAAUGACGGUACCGUAAGAAUAAGCACCGGCUAACUACGUGCCAGCAGCCGCGGUAAUACGUAGGGUGCGAGCGUUAAUCGGAAUUACUGGGCGUAAAGCGUGCGCAGGCGGUUUUGUAAGAUCGAUGUGAAAUCCCCGGGCUCAACCUGGGAACUGGAUUGGUGACUGCAAGGCUGGAGUGAGGCAGAGGGGGAUGGAAUUCCGCGUGUAGCAGUGAAAUGCGUAGAUAUGCGGAGGAACACCGAUGGCGAAGGCAAUCCCCUGGGCCUGCACUGACGCUCAUGCACGAAAGCGUGGGGAGCAAACAGGAUUAGAUACCCCGGUAGUCC